Molecule: long non-coding RNA, 1478 nt
Organism: Amphiprion ocellaris (clown anemonefish)
Lineage: Eukaryota; Metazoa; Chordata; Actinopteri; Pomacentridae
Source: Ensembl
CGGAAGAAGCGUGCAGAAAUCAUGUGUUAUGUUUUAAGUGUAAGAGAACUCCAUUUUUCACAUGUAAAUGGUAUACAGACAUGUCAUCAGUUUAAUUUGAUAUAAGUUUUUCUUUUUUUUUUUUUUUUUUUUAGGUCUGCCAGGUAGAAUACACUUUGUUCCACAAAAAGUGAAGCUCUAUGGCACCUCAUAGACAUGCACUUACUUUUGCGUUCAUGAAAAGAUUUUUCUUUUUAUGUUUCUGUGUUUCCCCAAAAGCGGGUCUGAAUGGAACUAUAUGAAAACUGUUGUCUUUCUUCCAAUGCGCAACUUUUUUAUUAGACGUUUUGUUUUUUUUUUUGUUAUUUAAUAUUAUAUAUUGACUCCAAAAUGCAAUCGAGACUGUUAAUUUCUAUUUGUCCAACCAAAAUUGUUGUUUUUAAUUAUUGUUGAAAUAUAAUGUGUGAGAAAAAGCCAGGUGAAUACUUGCUUAGCGUAGAAAAUCCUUGCUUGUGUCUGUAAUUGUUGAAAUUUUUAAAUGUUUUUAAUGCUACAGAAUCAUUCACUUUACCCUAGAAACAUAUUUUGUUUAACUUUGUCCUUUCCACAGAUGUUUCCUUUCUUCUUUGUUAUUUCAUUAAGCACAUAUUUUCUAAAGAAACACGGAUUGUUUGCGGGUUAAAACCUUGGAACAGCAGUAUCUGUUCAUAUGCAGUGGAAUAUACAGUAUGUACUAAAGUGCUAAUGAUACAGAAGAUGUGUAACUUCCCUUUACGCUCAGUGGAAGAAGAUAUAUUUUAAGUCAUAGUGAUAGUCAUCCUCUUCGUGUCACUUUUACCUUCAAAUCACUGUGGGAGGGGUUAUAUAACGUAUAUAUAUAUAUAUAUAUAUAUGUUGAGAAUAUAUGAGAUAAAUAUAUAUAUAUAUGAAGAAUAUAUUAUUUAAAUGGUGGAUUUACUUAAUGGAACACAUUGACAGUCAGUUACAAACCUGCUGUGGCGGUUUGUUUCCGUGAAACUUUAACCUUCCGCUUUCUCUCUCUGUUCACGCUGUGUGCUUGUUCAUCACACCAUCCUGUUGUCUUGUUCUUUUGAUACUAUUUACCAUCCUACUGAUUUUACUGUAAUGAAUGAAACUCAAACUAUGAUGUAUCAUUUUAGAUUUUAUGCUGUAUUUGUUAUAUGGACAAGAAAAAAAAAACUCAAAAAACAAAGCAAAAACACUACAGAUGUAAAGCAGAGGUUUUUUUCCCCAGCUGUAUUUUUUUACGCUGUUGCAAAAGGUUGUAUUUUUCAAUUUCUCUCGAACUUUAACAGUGAUGCAAAACUUUGGGCCGCGCCUCAGUGCCCUCCGAACACAAAGCAAAUUCAGGUUACUCUUUUUACGUUUUUAUCAAAGGUUUUCAAAGAUGGAACUACAUUCUCCUUUUUUCUGUCUGAAUUGUACUACUGUUCCUCUCUAUACUACAUUUUAAGAAUAAAACUUUGAUAUUGCUUUAA